CUACGGGGGGCACCAGUGGGGAAUAUUGGACAAUGGGGGAAACCCUGAUCCAGCAAUGCCGCGUGGAGGAUGACGCAUUUCGGUGUGUAAACUCCUUUUAUAUGUCAAGAAAAUGACGGUAGCAUAUGAAUAAGCACCGGCUAACUCCGUGCCAGCAGCCGCGGUAAUACGGAGGGUGCAAGCGUUACUCGGAUUCACUGGGCGUAAAGGACGCGUAGGCGGGUUGGAAAGUCAGGUGUGAAAUCCUACAGCUUAACUGUAGAACUGCACUUGAAACUUCUAAUCUAGAGUAUGGGAGGGGGAGAUGGAAUUAGUGGUGUAGGGGUAAAAUCCGUAGAUAUCACUAGGAAUACCUAAAGCGAAGGCGAUCUCCUGGAACAUUACUGACGCUAAGGCGUGAAAGCGUGGGGAGCAAACAGGAUUAGAUACCCCGGUAGUC
RNAcentral lists this ribosomal RNA (439 nucleotides) under uncultured bacterium. Its description in RNAcentral is "partial 16S ribosomal RNA". It matches the Rfam family "Bacterial small subunit ribosomal RNA", at positions 339 to 795 of the family's 1533-position model. The record is from RNAcentral.